CUCCGCCGGCGACCGGCGCACGGGUGAGUAACACGUAUGCAACCUGCCCCUGUCAGGGGGACAACCCGCCGAAAGGCGGGCUAAACCCGCGUACAUGCCACCGGGGCAUCCCGGAGGCAGGAAAGGCUUCGGCCGGACAGGGAUGGGCAUGCGGCGCAUUAGGCAGUAGGCGGGGUAAUGGCCCACCUAACCGACGAUGCGUAGGGGUUCUGAGAGGAAGGUCCCCCACACUGGUACUGAGACACGGACCAGACUCCUACGGAAGGCAGCAG
RNAcentral lists this ribosomal RNA (272 nucleotides) under uncultured bacterium. RNAcentral describes it as "partial 16S ribosomal RNA". It matches the Rfam family "Bacterial small subunit ribosomal RNA", at positions 83 to 354 of the family's 1533-position model. The record is from RNAcentral.